This 405-nucleotide ribosomal RNA is filed under the name uncultured bacterium. RNAcentral's name for it is "partial 16S ribosomal RNA". It matches the Rfam family "Bacterial small subunit ribosomal RNA", at positions 30 to 526 of the family's 1533-position model. The record is from RNAcentral.
AUUGCACGCUGGCGGCAGGCUUAACACAUGCAAGUCGAACGAGUGGCGGACGGGUGAGUAAUGCUUGGGAAUCUAGCUUAUGGAGGGGGAUAACUACGGGACACUGUAGCUAAUACCGCGUACAAUAGGAUGAGCCCAAUUGGGAUUAGGUAGUUGGUGAGGUAAAGGCUCACCAAGCGGACGAUCUCUAGCUGGUCUGUGAGGAUGACCCGCCCACCUGGGACUGAUCCCCGGCCCAGACUCCUUCUGGAGGCAGCAGUGGGGAUGUUUCCGCAAUGGGGGCACCCUUACGCAGCCAUGCCGCGUGAAUGAAGAAGGCCUUCGGGUUGUAAAGUUCUUUCGGUAGCGAGGCGUUAACUACAGAAGAAGCACCGGCUAACUCCGUGCCAUCAGCCGCGGUAAUUC